UACGUAGGGUGCGCGCGUUGUCCGGACUUAUUGGGCGUACAGCGCUCGUAGGUGGUCUGUCACGUCGGAUGUGAAAACUCGGGGCUCACCCCCGAGCCUGCAUUCGAUACGGGCAGACUAGAGUUCGGUAGGGGAGACUGGAAUUCCUGGUGUAGCGGUGAAAUGCGCAGAUAUCAGGAGGAACACCGGUGGCGAAGGCGGGUCUCUGGGCCGAUACUGACACUGAGGAGCGAAAGCGUGGGGAGCGAACAGG
This 253-nucleotide ribosomal RNA is filed under the name uncultured bacterium. Its description in RNAcentral is "partial 16S ribosomal RNA". It matches the Rfam family "Bacterial small subunit ribosomal RNA", at positions 524 to 776 of the family's 1533-position model. The record is from RNAcentral.